This 2418-nucleotide ribosomal RNA is filed under the name human gut metagenome. RNAcentral's name for it is "bacterial LSU rRNA". It matches the Rfam family "Bacterial large subunit ribosomal RNA", at positions 390 to 2841 of the family's 2925-position model. The record is from RNAcentral.
AAGCUUAUCGAUACCGUCCAGAGUACCACGAGACACGUGGAACCUUGUGGGAAAUCAGGGGGACCACCCCCUAAGGCUAAAUACUACUUAGUGACCGAUAGCGCAUAGUACUGUGAAGGAAAGGUGAAAAGGACCCCGGGAGGGGAGUGAAAGAGAACCUGAAACCCUGUGUCUACAAGCUGUGGAAGCACUUUAUAUGUGCGACCGCGUACUUUUUGUAGAACGGUCCGGCGAGUUACGCUUACUGGCAAGGUUAAGCACUUCAGGUGUGGAGCCGUAGGGAAACCAAGUCUUAAGAGGGCCUUAAGUCAGUAGGAGUAGACCCGAAACCGGGUGAUCUAUCCAUGUCCAGGUUGAAGCUGCCGUAAGAGGUAGUGGAGGACCGAACCCACAUCCGUUGAAAAGGGUGGGGAUGAGGUGUGGAUAGGGGAGAAAUUCCAAUCGAACCCGGAGAUAGCUGGUUCUCCUCGAAAUAGCUUUAGGGCUAGCCUCGAUACAGAUUUGCGGAGGUAGAGCACUGAAUUUCCUAGGGGGCGUCAAAGCCUACCGAAGAAUAUCAAACUCCGAAUGCCGCGUAAUCGAUUAUCGGGAGUCAGACUGCACGAGAUAAGUUGGGCGGUCAAAAGGGAAAGAGCCCAGACCUUCAGUUAAGGUCCCCAAGUGCGCGUUAAGUGGAAAAGGAUGUGGGAUUUCGAAGACAACCAGGAUGUUGGCUCAGAAGCAGCCAUCCAUUCAAAGAGUGCGUAAUAGCUCACUGGUCGAGAGGUCCUGCGCCGAAAAUGUCCGGGGCUGAAACGCGCCACCGAAACUAAGGAACCGAAAGGUUGGUAGAGGAGCAUUGCAUGCGGGAAGAAGCAGUACCGGAAGGAGCUGUGGACUGCAUGGAAGAGAGAAUGCCGGAAUGAGUAGCGAGAAUAAGGUGGGAAUCCUUAUGGCCGAAUAUCCAAGGUUUCCAGAGUAAAGCUGAUCUGCUCUGGGUAAGUCGGGGCCUAAGGCGAGGACGAGAGUCGUAGCCGAUGGACAACAGGUGGAGAUUCCUGUACUGCGGUAUGACAGAACUGUGGGGACACGUAAGGAAAGCGGAAGCCGGGAAUGGAAAGCCCGGUGCAAGCGGGGUACCAGUCACUCAGGCAAAUCCGGGUGGCAAUGGGAAGCCGUGAUGCGGAGCGAAAUAAAGUAGCGAAGUCCGUGAGCCAUGCGUCAAGAAAAGCCGCUAUCGUUUAUACCGUACCCGUACCGUAAACCGACACAGGUGGAUGAGGAGAGAAUCCUAAGGCCGGCGGAAGAAGCAUUGUCAAGGAACUCGGCAAAAUGGCCCCGUAACUUAGGGAUAAGGGGUGCCUGGGAAACCAGGCCGCAGAGAAUAGGCUCAAGCAACUGUUUAGCAAAAACACAGGUCUAUGCAAAACCGAAAGGUGAGGUAUAUGGGCUGACGCCUGCCCGGUGCUGGAAGGUUAAGGGGAGAGGUUAGCGCAAGCGAAGCUUUGAACUUAAGCCCCAGUAAACGGCGGCCGUAACUAUAACGGUCCUAAGGUAGCGAAAUUCCUUGUCGGGUAAGUUCCGACCCGCACGAAAGGCGUAAUGAUUUGAGCGCUGUCUCGACAAUGCAUCCGGUGAAAUUGAAGUACCAGUGAAGAUGCUGGUUACCUGCGCCAGGACGGAAAGACCCCAUGGAGCUUUACUCCAGUCUGGUACUGGGACUCGGUAUUGCAUGUACAGGAUAGGUGGGAGGCUAGGAGAUGGUAACGCCAGUUGCCAUGGAGCCGCUGUUGGGAUACCACCCUUGCAGUAUUGGGUUUCUAACCAGCCGCCGUGACCCGGCGGUGGGACAAUGCCAGACGGGGAGUUUGACUGGGGCGGUCGCCUCCGAAAGGGUAUCGGAGGCGCCCAAAGGUUCCCUCAGAAUGGACGGAAACCAUUCGAAGAGUGCAAAGGCAGAAGGGAGCUUGACUGCGACACCGACGGGUGGAGCAGGUACGAAAGUAGGGCUUAGUGAUCCGGUGGUAUUAAGUGGGAAUGCCAUCGCUCAACGGAUAAAAGCUACCCUGGGGAUAACAGGCUUAUCACUCCCAAGAGUUCACAUCGACGGAGUGGUUUGGCACCUCGAUGUCGGCUCAUCGCAUCCUGGAGCUGUAGCAGGUUCCAAGGGUUGGGCUGUUCGCCCAUUAAAGCGGUACGCGAGCUGGGUUCAGAACGUCGUGAGACAGUUCGGUCCCUAUCCGGCGUGGGCGUAGGAUAUCUGAGAGGAGCUGUCCUUAGUACGAGAGGACCGGGAUGGACGGGCCGCUGGUGCAUCGGUUAGACUGCCAAGUCUACGGCCGAGUAGCCAAGCCCGGAAGGGAUAAACGCUGAAGGCAUCUAAGCGUGAAGCCCCCCUUAAGAUGAGAUAUCCCAUUCGAAAGAAGUAAACCCCCUUGA